RNAcentral lists this ribosomal RNA (485 nucleotides) under uncultured bacterium. Its description in RNAcentral is "bacterial SSU rRNA". It matches the Rfam family "Bacterial small subunit ribosomal RNA", at positions 501 to 989 of the family's 1533-position model. The record is from RNAcentral.
CUACGUGCCAGCAGCCGCGGUAAUACGGAAGGUCCAGGCGUUAUCCGGAUUUAUUGGGUUUAAAGGGAGCGUAGGCUGGAGAUUAAGUGUGUUGUGAAAUGUAGACGCUCAACGUCUGACUUGCAGCGCAUACUGGUUUCCUUGAGUACGCACAACGUUGGCGGAAUUCGUCGUGUAGCGGUGAAAUGCUUAGAUAUGACGAAGAACUCCGAUUGCGAAGGCAGCUGACGGGAGCGCAACUGACGCUGAAGCUCGAAGGUGCGGGUAUCGAACAGGAUUAGAUACCCUGGUAGUCCGCACAGUAAACGAUGGAUGCCCGCUGUUGGUACCUGGUAUCAGCGGCUAAGCGAAAGCAUUAAGCAUCCCGCCUGGGGAGUACGCCGGCAACGGUGAAACUCAAAGGAAUUGACGGGGGCCCGCACAAGCGGAGGAACAUGUGGUUUAAUUCGAUGAUACGCGAGGAACCUUACCCGGGCUUGAAUUGC